UACGGAAUGUGCAAACGUUAUUCGGAAUCACUGGGCUUAAAGAGUCCGUAGGCGGCUUGUUAGGUGAGGUGUGAAAUCCCCCGGCUCAACCGAGGAAUUGCGCUUCAAACCGGCAAGCUCGAGGAGGAUAGAGGUGGGCGGAACUGAUGGUGGAGCGGUGAAAUGCGUUGAUAUCAUCAGGAACACCGGAGGCGAAAGCGGUCCACUGGGUCCUUCCUGACGCUGAGGGACGAAAGCUAGGGGAGCGAACGGG
This 253-nucleotide ribosomal RNA is filed under the name uncultured bacterium. RNAcentral describes it as "partial 16S ribosomal RNA". It matches the Rfam family "Bacterial small subunit ribosomal RNA", at positions 524 to 776 of the family's 1533-position model. The record is from RNAcentral.